This 1198-nucleotide ribosomal RNA is filed under the name Cutibacterium acnes. RNAcentral describes it as "bacterial SSU rRNA". It matches the Rfam family "Bacterial small subunit ribosomal RNA", at positions 102 to 1311 of the family's 1533-position model. Lineage: Bacteria; Bacillati; Actinomycetota; Actinomycetes; Propionibacteriales; Propionibacteriaceae. The record is from RNAcentral.
ACGGGUGAGUAACACGUGAGUAACUGCCCUUGACUUUGGGAUAACUUCAGGAAACUGGGGCUAAUACGGGAUAGGAGCUCUGCUGCAUGGUGGGGGUUGGAAAGUUUCGGCGGUUGGGGAUGGACUCGCGGCUUAUCAGCUUGUUGGUGGGGUAGUGGCUUACCAAGGCUUUGACGGGUAGCCGGCCUGAGAGGGUGACCGGCCACAUUGGGACUGAGAUACGGCCCAGACUCCUACGGGAGGCAGCAGUGGGGAAUAUUGCACAAUGGGCGGAAGCCUGAUGCAGCAACGCCGCGUGCGGGAUGACGGCCUUUCGGGUUGUAAACCGCUUUCGCCUGUGACGAAGCGUGAGUGACGGUAAUGGGUAAAGAAGCACCGGCUAACUACGUGCCAGCAGCCGCGGUGAUACGUAGGGUGCGAGCGUUGUCCGGAUUUAUUGGGCGUAAAGGGCUCGUAGGUGGUUGAUCGCGUCGGAAGUGUAAUCUUGGGGCUUAACCCUGAGCGUGCUUUCGAUACGGGUUGACUUGAGGAAGGUAGGGGAGAAUGGAAUUCCUGGUGGAGCGGUGGAAUGCGCAGAUAUCAGGAGGAACACCAGUGGCGAAGGCGGUUCUCUGGGCCUUUCCUGACGCUGAGGAGCGAAAGCGUGGGGAGCGAACAGGCUUAGAUACCCUGGUAGUCCACGCUGUAAACGGUGGGUACUAGGUGUGGGGUCCAUUCCACGGGUUCCGUGCCGUAGCUAACGCUUUAAGUACCCCGCCUGGGGAGUACGGCCGCAAGGCUAAAACUCAAAGGAAUUGACGGGGCCCCGCACAAGCGGCGGAGCAUGCGGAUUAAUUCGAUGCAACGCGUAGAACCUUACCUGGGUUUGACAUGGAUCGGGAGCGCUCAGAGAUGGGUGUGCCUCUUUUGGGGUCGGUUCACAGGUGGUGCAUGGCUGUCGUCAGCUCGUGUCGUGAGAUGUUGGGUUAAGUCCCGCAACGAGCGCAACCCUUGUUCACUGUUGCCAGCACGUUAUGGUGGGGACUCAGUGGAGACCGCCGGGGUCAACUCGGAGGAAGGUGGGGAUGACGUCAAGUCAUCAUGCCCCUUAUGUCCAGGGCUUCACGCAUGCUACAAUGGCUGGUACAGAGAGUGGCGAGCCUGUGAGGGUGAGCGAAUCUCGGAAAGCCCGGUCUCAGUUCGGAUUGGGGUCUGCAAC